Non-coding RNA from Equus caballus (horse), 8038 nucleotides. The record is from RefSeq and is a predicted model, not a curated record. Lineage: Eukaryota; Metazoa; Chordata; Mammalia; Perissodactyla; Equidae.
GCGGGGCGCGCGGGAGGCGGAGCCCAGCCGGGGAACCCUGCUCCGGGCGAGCGCCGGGCCCCGCAGAGCAGCCCGGCCGUCCGAGGGCCCCCGCGUCGGGGGCGGCGGGAAACCCCAGACGCAGCUGGGCCGGGAGGGAUCCCCGCGCCGAGCGAGCCUCCACCGCCGCCGCCUCCGCGCCGCCCCCGCGGGCUGCCAGGUGCCCGGCGCGCCCUCGCUCCGCCCGGCCGCCCGCUCCCGCGGUCCCGCCGUCCGCUCGCCCGCCGGGCUCCCACGCGCCAUGCAGCCUCCGCCAGCCCCGCGCGCGUAGGCGCCCGCCGCAGGCCAUGCUGCCCCUGCUCGCCGCGCUGCUGGCCGCCGCCUGCCCGCUGCCGCCCGCCCGCGGCGGGGCCGCGGACGCGCCGGGCCUCCUCGGUGCGCCCCCGAACGCCUCCGUCAACGCGUCGUCUGCGGGCGAGCCCGCCGCCCCGCGGCUGCUGACCUCGGCGGCUCCCGGGCCCCCCGAGCGCCCGGGCCCGGAGGAGGCGGCGGCGGCGCCGUGCAACAUCAGCGUGCAGCGGCAGAUGCUGAGCUCGCUGCUCGUGCGCUGGGGCCGCCCGCGGGGCUUCCAGUGCGAUCUGCUGCUCUUCUCCACCAACGCGCACGGCCGCGCCUUCUUCGCCGCCGCCUUCCACCGCGUCGGGCCGCCUCUGCUCAUCGAGCACCUGGGGCUGGCGGCGGGCGGCGCGCAGCAAGACCUGCGCCUCUGCGUGGGCUGCGGCUGGGUGCGCGGCCGCCGCCCCGGCCGCCUCCGGCCCGCCGCCGCCGCCGGCGCCACCGCCGGGGCGCCCACCGCGCUGCCCGCCUACCCCGCGGCCGAGCCGCCCGGGCCGCUGUGGCUGCAGGGCGAGCCGCUGCAUUUCUGCUGCCUGGACUUCAGCCUGGAGGAGCUGCAGGGCGAGCCGGGCUGGCGGCUGAACCGCAAGCCCAUCGAGUCCACGCUGGUGGCCUGCUUCAUGACCCUGGUCAUCGUCGUGUGGAGCGUGGCCGCCCUCAUCUGGCCGGUGCCCAUCAUCGCCGGCUUCCUACCCAACGGCAUGGAGCAGCGCCGGACCACCGCCAGCGCCGCCGCCGCCGCCCCCGCCGCCGUGCCCGCGGGGACCACCGCCGCCGCCGCCGCUGCCGCCGCCGCCGCCGCCGCUGCGGCCGUCACCUCGGGAGCGGCGACCAAGUGACCCGCCCCGCUCCUCGCCGCGUCCGCCCUGUGUCCGCGCUCUCGGGUGCCUUUCCCGCCGGGAGACUCGCCGGUGUGCUUCGUGCCGUAGUGACCGUUAGUUCUUCUUCCGGGGAGGGGGCCGCCGGAGAGGCCCCAGCGUGUCGGAAGAGCAAGGGCUUGCCUCAGCGAAGAGAGCCACUCCGCCCAAAGCCACACGCUCUUCCUGGGGCACCACAUCCAGUGCCGGAUCAACAGGGGGCAUGAAGACCCGAGCCUCUCGGGAUGGCUCUGAAGGGUCCUCCCACCUUCAGGACUCCUCCCAGGACUGGCUCAGCCUUCACUGAGAAACCAUGGAGGUUUGACUUCUCCCUCUGCCACUCCUGCCUCCUCCCAUCCUUUCCCUCCCACAGGUGUUGGUCCAAAAGCACUGCCUAAUAAACCUGCACACUGAUCUCUAGCAUACAGCCUGCUUCUCCAGGAACCCAGCCUGUGAUGGGCAGUUUACCUAACAAGAUGCAGGCUUGCUCUAGCCACAUGGUCCUUAGGCACAUAGGAGCAGAUCACAUAAAUGAUUAUCAUUUGUAUUCUUUUUAUACAGAGCACACAUUCUAUUUUUGUCUCUUCCAUUUGGAUUGCUCUGUAAUAUCCACCAUCAGUGGUGAUAGGGGAAAUGUCCCCAAUUCCAAUUCUUGUUUAAUCGUUGCACCUCAUAGACGUACAUGUCGAAAGAAGAAGGCCUCUUUCUUUCCAUCUCAAAUCAUGGUGUCAGUCAGGAUACACUGGGCUAUGCUGCAAUAAUAAGCAACCCCAACAUCUCAGUGCCUUAACGCAAGAAAGAUUUAUUUCUUACUCAUGCUACAUGUCCAAAGUUGGCAGGGGUUGUGCCCUUUGGAAUGGCUCAGGGAUCCAGGUUGGAUGUGACCCAGACUCGACAAUGUGGCCACCAUCAUCUAGUGAGGAGAAAGGGAACUCUGGAGGGUCCCCCACGGCAAUUCAGUGCUCCAGCCAAGAAGUCACAUCCUGUCUGCUCAUUGCUUAGAAUGAGUCAUGUGGCUCCACCCAAUGACAAAGGAGCCAAAGAGGUCAUGUUUCCAGGUCUUGAGAAGAGAGGAGAACCUGAUAUCAGGAGCAGGAUUGGUGAAAACAACCCCCAACCCCACUGUACCUGUGUGAUCUACAUGUCAGCCAGAAGAUUUCCGGGACUUUGGUGAGUAGACAAAGGAUUCAUCCUAGGAGCCGUCUCCAGACUCUCCUCCUGUGACACCCACCUCACCUGCCCGCACUGGAAGCUAGGUUGCUGCUCCUGGGGAUUUCAAAAGUGAUGAGGUCAUCAGCCUGGUGGCUGUUCCAAUGUUUGGCUAAAUUGGGUCUCAAAAGAACUCAAUCUGGCAAAAAUACACUCUGGAUCCCUGUGAUGUAGGAGUCAUCUAGAGAGAAGGAUGCGAGGAAAGUUAGAAUUAAAAUGGGGAGAAAGAAAUGGAGAGGUCAGAACAGACAUCCCAUCUCUCCUGGCCUAGUGCCUUGCCCACCGUAUAGAAAUGACUAGUUCAUUGACAUUAGGGGCAAGAAGAGGGCUGGUCUUCACUAUUCCAAUUCUCUCCUUUCACUGGGGAAAAAAAUCAUCUAUCUCUCAGCUAGCUUUAGAGGUUUAGGACUAUAAGGAUUGGGAGAGUUAAGAACAACGUGAAGACAUUCAGUGCAUGGCUGAGUUGCUUGUGACAUAGCUACAUGGUUUCCCUCAGAACACUGGGAGGGACAAUCACUAAGGAGAGAAUGGGGAGGACAGAAACCAAUGGCCCAGGUUGCUGUGAGCUGGCUGCUGUGGUGCACACCUCACCCAGGGUGCGCGACGGUGCCUGUUCUGGGCAUCCACCUCCCAGGUCCCGUCUGGUCUCUUGCUGGUAGACCUUCUGCUGUCCCCACCCCCAGCCUAGGACUGUCCUCUUUAGACAGUGCCUUUGCCUUCCCAGCUCUGCCACACCUCUCCUGGGGCGUCUCUCCCAGUGUACUACUUGGUCCUUCUGGGCUGGGAGUGCCAAACCAUUUUGCCACGUGGAGGACUGCUUGGGGAACAAAUGAAAACCACCCUCACUGGGGGCAGGCGUCUACGAGGUAUCACCUCUCCCCUCUUCCCUGCUGGGUCUCCCGCGUUAGGGCAAACCUGCUCCGCGCAGUCUGCUCACACCAGGUGCCGGCAGACCCCGAGGUCACCCAGAUCCUCCGUCUGCUCCAGGUCUUACCCCGGGGACAAGCAUUCCUACUGGCCUCCAGCUCUCAGAACUUUUCAAGCACCCCCUCUUCUCUGGGCCUACAACCUCCCAUCGGCUCUGAGUAACUUUGUAAACUUACACGAUUUUUCCUCGUGACUCUCCUGGCAGCUCUGUCACUGUCAGCUGCUGCUGUUUUCUCCAAGGCCGGGGUCUCACAGACAGCAGGCCAGGACGGCUCACAGACAUCUUCUUCUCCGCUAUCAGCCUUCUGAAGAAGCUGCCGCCUUCUCUCAUCCCUCACUUCCAGCUGUCAAGACCGCGCAGUCCUCAGCGCAGCCUUGGCAUCCUCCACACCAGUGCUGACACUUGGUGAUUUCUGCCGCACCCCAGGACAGGCCAGGGUCCAAAGGGAGUGUUCUGAGGAGGAUGGCGAUGUACCAUGGUCCUCGGAGGACUGGUGGCGUGGCUGCUGCCCACUCAGGACAAUUAAGGGCCUCUCUCCUCGCCUCACCCUCAGCAUUUUCCUGGUGCUCUUAAUGCCUGAGUAUUCCCAGAACUGUCUCCUAAAGUACCAGGAUGAGCUUCUGUGCCACUAAGGACCCAUUAGUUUUGUGCUUUCAUAGGGGCAGUGAUGAAAAAUCAAAAUAAUUAGCAUCAUGAUAACACCCUAAGGUCUCAUUGUGACUCUGAGUAACAAAUUGUCUCCUGGAAAGCAUUUUUGGCACUCGAGGAAAGAGCCUACCUUCAGGGUGCCCCCCAGGACCUGCUUUGCUCUGUGACCAGCAAGGAGUCCUUGCUGCACUCCUGAGAAGUUCUAUCAGAUUUUCUGAGGGUCACUGUGCAUGGGAGGGGGCCUGGAGAGAUUGCGGACCACCUACCUCUCCAUCUCUCCACAGGUGUGACCCCUGGACUGCAGAUUUAAACCUGUUCAGAACCUCAAAGGGCCCAUCAGCCCCGUCCUGGUGGCUGUGCCGCUUUUUCUCUGAAACACCGCUGUUUCCCAGCAGCCAGCGACAACAUGAUCGCUCUAUUCCAGCCUACCUCCUUGUACGCUAGCCACUCUGGAGUUAAAUCAUGAUUCACACUGUGUAGUAAACUAGAAUUGUGAUUUUAUCAUUCUAGUAUCUUGGAAUCUUAUCUGAGAAUAUUUUAUGAUCAUAGGAGUGUCCUGGCUCAGGUUAAAUUCCAUAUUCUUUGGUUCUCCCAGUAAGAAAGAUGCUCUUUUCUUACCUUAGGCUUUAACAUUAUACCCUUCCUCACCUCUUGUGUUUCUAGAUAAUUCUGCAGCUGCUAGAGGAGGACUACACUGGCAAUAAUAAUAAUAAAUAUCCUCCUCCUCCUCAUCAUCAUCAUAAAUACUAUUAUUAUUAAUUGUUAUUUUGAACUGGAGAGGGGAGGAGAAGUAGAAGGAGAAACAAUAACUAAGAGGAGAGAAGAAAAAGAGAAUUAAGAACACCAGCUUCAAAAACAGAAAAAUUAUCCCUACCUCAUCCCACCCCCACCCCCACAUACACUUGCAAAGGCACAAAGGGCGGAGAAAUGGAGAGGAUGACCUGGAGCCACAGCCCAGGGCAGGUGAACAAUGCAGAGUAGGAAGGGCAUCUGGGGGCCCUACAAUGGGGUGCCUACCAGCAGGAGAACAUGGGGACAACAGCUGGCAGUAGGUUCUGUGGCUUCCCUCCUGGAAGGGCUCUCCCUGAGGGGACAGCUCCAGCAACUCUCCUCUGCCCAAAAUGGUUUUCUCCUUCAGUCCUGGGAGGCUCGAGUCCCCGAGGUCCGAAAUGUCUCACCCCCCCGGGGAGGCACAUCCCACGGUGCCAACUCCAGACUGUCACCGUGUCCCCGACUGGGCAGCCGCGGUGGUUAACACGGCUCAGAAAGGACACUUUGCUAAGAGCAUCAUCCUUGAACUCUUGCUUGAACACAGAUAAUGUAUAUUCAUUGUAGAAGUGCUAGAAAUGUUGAUAAAUAAAAAAGAAGGAAAAGAGAACUUGUCUUUCUAACACCCAAAAAUAAGCCCUGCACGCAUUGUGGUGCGUGUACUCCCAGUCUGUUUUUACCCAUGUAUGUGCAUCCAUGAGUAAUUAUUUAUGUUAAAAAUGGGAUUGUGCUGUACUUAACCGUUUUCAAAACUUUUCUUUGUUACACAUGCUACGUCAUUGAAAAAAUAAGAAAAUGCCCUUCAUAAGAUCAAUGAAUCGAUAUCAGCGACAGUCCCAGACCCCCAGUGACCGUGGCUAAUAUUUAUCGACAAAUGUUCAUGCCUAUGUUAUACAUGUGUUAACCCCAGCAGGCACCUCUUCUCAGCGCCCUGCCUGCCCCACCCUCGGGUCCCCUCCCUCUGCAGAGGGUAGUAGAGGGCUUCUCAGGGCAGGAGGUGUUAAAGGCUGUCUUCCUGAUGUGCGGGUCCAACAUCAGCAGCGCAGGAUGUUGACACUUGUCGGAGGGCCAAAGGCUUGACGGAGAUGGGGCGGUGGGGAGGUUGUCUAUCUUUCCCAUCCCAAGUUUAUCAUCUCCAGACACAUAUCGAAGCCAGACCCAACUUACCACCCCUCCUGGAGACAUGUCUCCGCUCUUGUGUCUGAGAUUUCUGAUGAGGCUGAUAAGGAACGGAACAGAACUUCAGAGGAAGAACAAUGCACUUCACCUCCUCGACUCAUAACCAUGGAGCUGCCUUGUAUUGUCUGGGCUUAUUUGAUGUCUUCGGUGCGAAAAUGAAGUCUGAGAUUCAAUAAGCAGGAAAGAUAUUGCUCCUGUAUAAUGCUGCCCAAAAAGCUGUCACAAUGCCACAUGACGGAGUAAUGGCUGCAUUCAGAUGUCCCUGCUGCUGGGGGCAGGGGCUGAAGACAGAACACCCAGAGAGAGGAAGGAGAUGGGUCCAGAGUUGGAGGAACCAGCCAAGGACAGGAGCCAUCAAUGGGCCAAAGGUACUGAGCACCACUCACCAUCAAUGGGCUGUGUCGAGGUCUUCUGUGAUGGAUCUCGUCUAGGAUUGGGUUCCCUAGAGGCGGAGGCUGAGAUAGAGAGACUUUCACAGGUGAUUUAUGGAGGGGUGCUCUCAGGAGGAGGGGGCCGAGGGAAGCAGAAUGUGUCUCAGCUGGAGUCAGCUUCGGCCUGACCCCACAGGAGCUCUGGAGCAGGAACUGCACCAUAGAGUUGCCCCACCUGGAGGCAAAGGGCUCUCAUUUCAUUUUAUACUCUCAUUUCAGUCAGUUUGGCCAAAGUCUGGAUGCCGGGGGCCGUGUAGCCUCCUGGCAGCUCCCAUUUAGCUGGGCCUGGUUCUCCAGAGAAGGAGGCAGCUGAGAGAUGCUAGCUGCCCACGUUCACAGCACCUGGGGAUGGGUGUGCAGGCCCCCAGGAUAGCGGGAGACCCCACGUUGCUCUGGGGUCCUGUUCCCAGCAAUGGAUGGCAGGGUGCGUAGUGCCCAGACAGCAUGAAGCUCAGUGUGCCACUUGAGCUUUAAACUCCCCAUCCAGCUGGCGUGCUGAUAUCUAGGCCUUUGCCAGUCUCAGGUGAGGUCUGGCCAGCUGGCCUUGCCUCUGGGGGUCCUGCACAUGUGCCAACUGAGGUACAGCUGGCUCUGUCAUGCUGGCCCUCCCUGAUGAAGUCAGAAGCCCCUGCUAUUUGCCUCUGUGUUGAAAGUCCUGGCUCCCCAAUACUUGCAUUAUAAGGGCAGUGCCACAGUAUUAGCAUUAGCAUUAACAUUAGUAUUGUAUUAGUAUUGGAUACAGUAUUAGUAUCGCUAAGGCUGCCAGCAGACUGGUAAUAACAUGGGACAGGGCACCGGGGCACCUGCUUACGGUACCUGCUUUACCAUUAAUGAGCUGUUUGGCCAUGGGCAAAGCGCUCCUCCUCGGAGCCUCAGUUUCCUCGUCGACAGAACAAGAUUGUUGGGCCAGGCGAGGCCUCAGUCCCUCCAGGCCUGCAGUCCCACGUUCUGGCCUCCCCUCCCCAUCUUCCAGGCGAGUCAGACCACACCAGCUACAAAGAAUCACCCCUCAAGUGUCACUUCACCAGGCAGACUGAAACAGAGGCCAAGGCCACUCACUUUUCUGGGUGCCUUGAACGGGAAAAACAUGGAACAAAUAAGAAAAGAGGAUUUUUAAGAUAGCAGAAUGAUUUUUGCCACUAGAUUGUCUAAAUUGGCUAUUUGUGUGGGUCUCAUAAUUUACAGAAUUAUGAUUUCUGCAUUCUUCUAUUCAAAUGACCAGAGCCACGGAAUAAAGAUUUUUCAAGCCAAGGAAGCUAAUGAGAAAUGAGAAAUUUUUAACAUUUAAAAAGUGACGUCUUUAACUUUGUCAGUUAACACUGGGUGUCAUGCUCUAAGGCAGGGUCCACACAGGUAAGGAAGAGAGAAAUUAGCAUGGGCUGUGUGCCUGCUCAUGCCAGCAGCUUGACCUUCCAAAUCCUCAAGGAAUCUUGUAGGGUAGGUAAUAUUCUCCACAUCUUAAUGACUUUUGAACAGACUCAGGCUCUGGGAGGCUGAAUAUCUUACCCAAGUUCAUAGCUCAGGCACGAGAGAGUGGUCACAGAGCCCUGUCUCUCCUGUGCAUCCGUGCCGCCACUAAGGUUUACCCAGUUUGGUAAUUCCACUGAAAGUUACUUUAAAACAAACAAACGGGGCUGGCCCCG